RNAcentral lists this transfer RNA (72 nucleotides) under Candidatus Wolfebacteria bacterium. RNAcentral's name for it is "tRNA-Thr". It matches the Rfam family "tRNA". From Rfam's summary of the family: Transfer RNA (tRNA) molecules are approximately 80 nucleotides in length. Their secondary structure includes four short double-helical elements and three loops (D, anti-codon, and T loops). Lineage: Bacteria; Candidatus Wolfeibacteriota. The record is from RNAcentral.
GCCGAGGUAGCUCAAUGGCAGAGCAAUGGUUUUGUAAACCAUAGGUUGGAGGUUCAAAUCCUCUCCUCGGCU